RNAcentral lists this long non-coding RNA (758 nucleotides) under Daucus carota (carrot). Its description in RNAcentral is "long non-coding RNA (DCAR_LNC006213)". Lineage: Eukaryota; Viridiplantae; Streptophyta; Magnoliopsida; Apiales; Apiaceae. The record is from RNAcentral.
GGUAAUUAUGUAAGCUUAACGGUGUCUCCAAUGACAGUAAGAGAGCUAAGCCUAAGUAAAUGAGGUUCCAUAAAAAGAUAUAUUUGCAAAUAAAUAAAUUUAAAGAACAUAUAUAGUAUGUGGACUGAAAAGGAACCAGAAGCAACAUAGUGGGAGCUCAGUUACAGAUAUAUAAUUUUAAAUGUGUAAAACUCAACCCAACCUAAACCAAAAAAGGUUUUUGCUAUAACUAGAAGGCUAUCUAUGGGCUCAUAAUUUAAUAUUUGGAGUGAAAACUGGUGAGGUACAUAGUAUUAGAAGAGAUCAGAGAUGUUUCUAUGAACGAUACCUCAACUCUUUGGCGGACUUUCUCCAGAUAUUAUUUACUUCAAAAUUGUUUUUAGGUUUAUGAUUGUGGAAUAUAUAUUGAUUUAUUAUCAUAUAUCAAGAAUCAAAUGAAUGUUUAAGAAACCAAAAUUCUAGCAAUAAAAGAUCAAUGAACCCGAACUACACAUUCAGGAAUGUUAAAAUAAUCACAAUGAUCAUUUUUUUUUCCCCAUCAUAUCCCAGUGUUGUCACUGUUCUUUAAAGCUUUUAGGUUGCCCUCAGUAGUCCACAUUUCCUUUCUUAAUCACACAUUAUAAUCAUAGUGCAGCUUGGGUACAGGAAAAGCUAAAAUACUCAAAAAUCUAAGGCCAUUACGGAUAUAUCUACAAAACAAGCAACCCUUUCAAAUCCAUAAACCCGACAAAUCACACAAGCAAACCAUAGUAAAUAUG